Molecule: long non-coding RNA, 597 nt
Organism: Cannabis sativa
Lineage: Eukaryota; Viridiplantae; Streptophyta; Magnoliopsida; Rosales; Cannabaceae
Exons: 3
Source: RefSeq, a predicted model, not a curated record
UAUGAAAUCUGAAAUUUAUUUGGCAAUAUUUGAGUGUGAAAUGGCAUAUUUUCCCUUGAAAAUGAAUAUGUAUGUUUUAUAGCCUUAAGGGCAAAAUGGUCAUUUGACCAUUAUUGAGUUAUAUUGAAUUUAAUGGAUUUUGAGAGAAAAUGAAUUGUAUUUUCUGGUAUUAUCUCUCUCUCACCCGAACUCUCUCUCUCCCUUUAACCCUUUCCAUUUUCAAAAUUGAAUUGUUGAGAAAUUGCUUGAAGUUGGGUGUGGAUUAAAGCUUUUGAAUUGUGGAUUCUUGAGCUUGGAAUUAGGAUUACCGGCACCUGGUCAGGAGCACCCGGGGAUUUGGAAUCUCUACUAUUGCGGGACAACAGGAAAGGGUAAGGCAAUAGCUGAUCAACCAUGAGUUUCAGGAGCAGACGAAGAAUGUACAUGUUCACGCCACUUCAGACCAAGCGGGUUAUGGGUCUAGCAGUGUUGACUUUUGUAUUCUGUUUUGCCGCUUAGGUCGGCUAGUAAGAAAGAACUUGUAAUAAUUUUGUAAUUAUUUUUGGGAUCCCAACUAUGUUUGAAAAGUUUAAAUAUAUUACAAGUUUAUUUUCAGUC